This 84-nucleotide transfer RNA is filed under the name Candidatus Iainarchaeum sp. RNAcentral describes it as "tRNA-Leu". It matches the Rfam family "tRNA". From Rfam's summary of the family: Transfer RNA (tRNA) molecules are approximately 80 nucleotides in length. Their secondary structure includes four short double-helical elements and three loops (D, anti-codon, and T loops). Lineage: Archaea; Nanobdellati; Candidatus Iainarchaeota; Candidatus Iainarchaeia; Candidatus Iainarchaeales; Candidatus Iainarchaeaceae. The record is from RNAcentral.
GCAGGAGUAGCGAAGCGGUCAAACGUAGCAGGCCUAGGACCUGCCGGCUUAGUGCCUUCGGAGGUUCGAAUCCUCCCUCCUGCA